CCCUUAGAUGUUCGGGGCUGCACAUGCGCUACACUGAAUGAAUCAACGUGUAUUUGCCCUUGCCCGAAAGGGUUGGGUAACCCGUUGAACCUCCUUCGUGCUAGGGAUUGGGGCUUGUAAUUAUUCCCCAUGAACGAGGAAUUCCCAGUAAGCGCGAGUCAUAAGCUCGCGUUGAUUACGUCCCUGCCCUUUGUACACACCGCCCGUCGCUACUACCGAUUGAAUGGUUUAGUGAGAUCCUCGGAUUGGUCCCGCCACGGGAGGAAACUUUCGAGGCGGAGUGCCGAGAAGACGAUCAAACUUGAUCAUUUAGAGGAAGUAAAAGUCGUAACA
Molecule: ribosomal RNA, 333 nt
Filed under: uncultured eukaryote
Lineage: Eukaryota
Description: partial 18S ribosomal RNA
Rfam family: Eukaryotic small subunit ribosomal RNA
Source: RNAcentral